This 1310-nucleotide long non-coding RNA is filed under the name Homo sapiens (human). RNAcentral's name for it is "LNC_000111". Lineage: Eukaryota; Metazoa; Chordata; Mammalia; Primates; Hominidae. The record is from RNAcentral.
GGUUGACAGAGAAUGAGAAAUUGUGGCUCCAGGCAAGCAUCAAAAUUAAUAUAUACAACUGGGAAUACAUCUUGUCAUGAAGGAAUGUCAUCUGUCUAGUAUGCAGAGAGAAGCUGAGCUGAGCAGUCCGGGCCCUCCUCUGACCGGACCACUAUCUUGGUUGCUCUGGCAAGAACUUCCAGUACAGCGUUGAUGAGCAGUGGUAAAAGGAUUUCACUGUUUUCUGCUAUCUGGAUUUUCCCAAAGAUCCGCUAAAUCCUAAACUUCAUCUUGGUCUGAAGAAGGGCAAGUCCUCUCUCCAGCUCUUCAUUUGCUGACUCUCACUGAUGCAAGAAGAAUGAAGUCUCUUACCUGCCUUCUCCUAGGACAUCCUGGGAGAAACUGUGACUGCUGGUGUGUUCUCAAAACUCACCAACAUGAUUCUCCUUGUGGCUAUAUGACUCUAGAAAGGGAAUUUAAAUAAAAUGAUAACAAUUAACAGAUACUUUUAUGUAAACAACCGGUAGUGACCACUAUACUAGUUGGUUUGUAUUUACCAAAUUCCAUGUCUGAGGCCAAGAAUUUAUCUCUAAAUCCUCUGGGAUAAAAAUCCAGCAUCUCAUCUUUUUUUCUGCCAGCUGUAAAAACAUUGCAGGAAGGUACUGAGUACUUUUUGUUGUUGUUUUCUCCUUUCUUUGAAUCUUUGGCUUUGACAAGCAUGGAAUGAAAAUCAUAUAGAGCAUGGAGCUUAUAGCAAAGGAGAAUGUAGAGGCAAAGAGAAUAAAAAUGCUGGGAUAAUUUCUUGAAAAAUUACUUAGAGGAAGAUGUCUUAUUUUUGUGUCAUAUAACCUCUCACAUGGUUCUUGAAUGUUGCUAACUAUGGCUAGCAGUGCGAUUUCCAACAAGUAAACUGUAAUCUAGCCAAUGCUGUGAGAGUUGUACAUGUCAACCAAGGGUCAAAUAUGGCUAUACCUGUCAAGAGUUGCAAAGUAAAUGUAGAAUCUUACUUUCCCGAGGUACAUAUAAUUUAAGUUUCUUGUUCUGUUCUUUACUGUGGCAUUAUUAAAACUUAAACCCACGCCAUUUUCCUACUGAGUCACUUUCAAUGCAUAAGAAUAUGCUUUCAAGCUAUAACUGCAUCAAUACCUGUGAUUGUACUUUCUAUUGAGAAUACAAAUGCUUUUUCCCCCCUUCAGAGCUGUCAAAGCUUCUGAUGCUGAAGAGUUGAUCUUGGAAAAUGCAGGUUCAGUCCUGCUACCAGCAGAAAGUGAAGAAAGUCCUUAAUUUCACAAUCGAUGUCAUCCUAACGAUGCCAGUAUAAUAAUGGUGCA